AGUGAACGCUGGCGGUAGGCCUAACACAUGCAAGUCGAACGGCAGCACAGUAAGAGCUUGCUCUUACGGGUGGCGAGUGGCGGACGGGUGAGGAAUACAUCGGAAUCUACUUUUUCGUGGGGGAUAACGUAGGGAAACUUACGCUAAUACCGCAUACGACCUACGGGUGAAAGCAGGGGAUCUUCGGACCUUGCGCGAUUGAAUGAGCCGAUGUCGGAUUAGCUAGUUGGCGGGGUAAAGGCCCACCAAGGCGACGAUCCGUAGCUGGUCUGAGAGGAUGAUCAGCCACACUGGAACUGAGACACGGUCCAGACGCCUACGGGAGGGAGCAGUGGGGAAUAUUGGACAAUGGGCGCAAGCCUGAUCCAGCCAUACCGCGUGGGUGAAGAAGGCCUUCGGGUUGUAAAGCCCUUUUGUUGGGAAAGAAAAGCAGCAGGUUAAUACCCCGCUGUUCUGACGGUACCCAAAGAAUAAGCACCGGCUAACUUCGUG
This 492-nucleotide ribosomal RNA is filed under the name uncultured bacterium. RNAcentral's name for it is "partial 16S ribosomal RNA". It matches the Rfam family "Bacterial small subunit ribosomal RNA", at positions 29 to 507 of the family's 1533-position model. The record is from RNAcentral.